UGCGGCGGCUCGGGCGGUCCGCGGCGGUUCCGGAGCCUGACGGGUUCCGGUUGGGUCUGGCGUUCAUGGCGUCGUCGCCCCGGC
RNAcentral lists this transfer RNA (84 nucleotides) under Actinoplanes lobatus. RNAcentral's name for it is "tRNA-Val". Lineage: Bacteria; Bacillati; Actinomycetota; Actinomycetes; Micromonosporales; Micromonosporaceae. The record is from RNAcentral.